This 769-nucleotide long non-coding RNA is filed under the name Daucus carota (carrot). Its description in RNAcentral is "long non-coding RNA (DCAR_LNC000051)". Lineage: Eukaryota; Viridiplantae; Streptophyta; Magnoliopsida; Apiales; Apiaceae. The record is from RNAcentral.
UCUCUGUUCUUCCACCAAUAACUUCACGAAAACAUUAACUUUGGCACCUAAGCAAAUCCUACAGAAAUCUGUAGACAACUGGUAAACUAAGAAAAAUCAUUCCAAAGUACAGACUCGAUCUUGGGUUAACAAACACAUAUUAUACAUCGUUUAGCUCAAUAAAUAAAUAGACAAAUAUAAAAACUACUUCAAGUAACUUGCACGUGCUGAACAUCAUCGAUUUUAAGUCUUUUGAGCCCUGAUUUUACAUGGGAAUAAGUAUAAGACAAUAUUGUAAAGAAUACAUAUGCAGAACUGCAUGGAAGAAGGUUAUCACUUUUAACUCGGUUCUUGCGAUUUCAAAAGUUCCACGAUGUGCUGCUUCGUUCCUUUUAUCUUUCUCUUUGUAGAAGCCAGUUUAAUUUUCAUAUUACCUUCUUGGUUAUCUUUUGUACAAGUGGUAUUGCAAGUGUUUUCAGAUUAAAAGCUAAGAGAAAACACCUUUAAAGUUAAAUUCUCAAAUUUUUAAUAUUUAAUCAAUGAUGGACAACAAAAACCAAUAUGAUGAUUAAUUCCUAACAACAAUCUUAUCAUGUCUUUUUAGAUUACUUCAAGUAACUUGCACGUGCUGAACAUCAUCGAUUUUAAGUCUUUUGAGCCCUGAUUUUAAAUGGGAAUAAGUAUAAGACAAUAUUGUAAAGAAUACAUAUGCAGAACUGCAUGGAAGAAGGUUAUCACUUUUAACUCGGUUCUUGCGAUUUCAAAAGUUCCACGAUGUGCUGCUUCGUUC